UGCUAAUCCUUUUGGUGCAAAAAUCCGCCUGCGUCGGAGAAGCUGGAGUCGAGGGAGUCGCAGUCGCCAUCGGGACCUACAAAAGAAGUCUAAACCGGAGGUGGGGUUGCUCUGGCAAGACCCUCCGAUGCUCAAGUCAGUUCUCUGCAUCAACAAGAAUGGAGUGCUCGAACGAAAAUUUUAGCAGAGUUUCUAGGUAAGAAAAUGAGAGCUUAGAGAAUAACG
Molecule: long non-coding RNA, 225 nt
Filed under: Elaeis guineensis (African oil palm)
Lineage: Eukaryota; Viridiplantae; Streptophyta; Magnoliopsida; Arecales; Arecaceae
Description: long non-coding RNA (EGUI_LNC078555)
Source: RNAcentral